Molecule: ribosomal RNA, 484 nt
Filed under: uncultured bacterium
Lineage: Bacteria
Description: partial 16S ribosomal RNA
Rfam family: Bacterial small subunit ribosomal RNA
Source: RNAcentral
AUUGAACGCUGGCGGCAGGCCUAACACAUGCAAGUCGAGCGGAUGAAGGGAGCUUGCUCCUGGAUUCAGCGGCGGACGGGUGAGUAAUGCCUAGGAAUCUGCCUGGUAGUGGGGGAUAACGUCCGGAAACGGGCGCUAAUACCGCAUACGUCCUGAGGGAGAAAGUGGGGGAUCUUCAGACCUCACGCUAUCAGAUGAGCCUAGGUCGGAUUAGCUAGUUGGUGGGGUAAAGGCCUACCAAGGCGACGAUCCGUAACUGGUCUGAGAGGAUGAUCAGUCACACUGGAACUGAGACACGGUCCAGACUCCUACGGGAGGCAGCAGUGGGGAAUAUUGGACAAUGGGCGAAAGCCUCAUCCAGCCAUGCCGCGUGUGUGAAGAAGGUCUUCGGAUUGUAAAGCACUUUAAGUUGGGAGGAAGGGCAGUAAGUUAAUACCUUGCUGUUUUGACGUUACCAACAGAAUAAGCACCGGCUAACUUCGUG